This 71-nucleotide transfer RNA is filed under the name uncultured archaeon. RNAcentral describes it as "tRNA-Gly(ccc)". It matches the Rfam family "tRNA". Rfam says of the family: Transfer RNA (tRNA) molecules are approximately 80 nucleotides in length. Their secondary structure includes four short double-helical elements and three loops (D, anti-codon, and T loops). The record is from RNAcentral.
GCGCGGUUAGUUUAUCGGUAGAAUACAAGAUUCCCAAUCUUGUGGGCCGGGUCCAAUUCCCGGACUGCGCA